GACGAACGCUGGCGGCGUGCUUAACACAUGCAAGUCGAACGGAAAGGCCCUGCUUUUGUGGGGUGCUCGAGUGGCGAACGGGUGAGUAACACGUGAGUAACCUGCCCUUGACUUUGGGAUAACUUCAGGAAACUGGGGCUAAUACCGGAUAGGAGCUCCUGCUGCAUGGUAGGGGUUGGAAAGUUUCGGCGGUUGGGGAUGGACUCGCGGCUUAUCAGCUUGUUGGUGGGGUAGUGGCUUACCAAGGCUUUGACGGGUAGCCGGCCUGUGAGGGUGACCGGCCACAUUGGGACUGAGGGACGGCGCAGACUCCUACGGGAGGCAGCAGUGGGGAAUAUUGCACAAUGGGCGGAAGCCGGAUGCAGCAACGCCGCGUGCGGGAUGACGGCCUUCGGGUUGUAAACCGCUUUCGCCUGUGACGAAGCGGGAGUGACGGUAAUGGGUAAAGAAGCACCGGCUAACUACGUG
RNAcentral lists this ribosomal RNA (468 nucleotides) under uncultured bacterium. RNAcentral describes it as "partial 16S ribosomal RNA". It matches the Rfam family "Bacterial small subunit ribosomal RNA", at positions 28 to 507 of the family's 1533-position model. The record is from RNAcentral.